ACAUCCCGUGCGGCGGAAUAUUU
Molecule: unclassified non-coding RNA, 23 nt
Filed under: Chlamydomonas reinhardtii
Lineage: Eukaryota; Viridiplantae; Chlorophyta; Chlorophyceae; Chlamydomonadales; Chlamydomonadaceae
Description: small RNA Cre_0216
Source: RNAcentral